This 406-nucleotide ribosomal RNA is filed under the name uncultured bacterium. RNAcentral describes it as "partial 16S ribosomal RNA". It matches the Rfam family "Bacterial small subunit ribosomal RNA", at positions 30 to 526 of the family's 1533-position model. The record is from RNAcentral.
AUUGAACGCUGGCGGCAGGCCCAACACAUGCAAGUCGAACGAGUGGCGGACGGGUGAGUAAUGUCUGGGAAACUGCCCGAUGGAGGGGGAUAACUACUGGAAACGGUAGCUAAUACCGCAUACCAUCGGAUGUGCCCAGAUGGGUUUAACUAGUAGGUGGGGUAAUGGCUCACCUAGGCGACGAUCCCUAGCUGGUCUGUGCGGAUGACAAGCCACACUGGGCCUGAGACACGGUCCAGACACCUACGAGAGUCAGCAGUAGAGAAUAUUGCACAAGGGGCUCAAGCCUGAUGCAGCCAUGCCGCGUGUAUGAAGGAGGCCUUCGGGUUGUAAAGUACUUUCAGCGGGGAGGCGUAGCCCGCAGAAGAGGCACCGGCUAACUCCGUGCCAGCAGCCGCGGUAAGUC